RNAcentral lists this ribosomal RNA (702 nucleotides) under uncultured soil bacterium. Its description in RNAcentral is "bacterial SSU rRNA". It matches the Rfam family "Bacterial small subunit ribosomal RNA", at positions 34 to 761 of the family's 1533-position model. The record is from RNAcentral.
CGCUGGCGGCGUACCUAACGCAUGCAAGUCGAACGGGGACUUUAUAGCAAUAUGGAGUUCUAGUGGCAAACGGGUGAGUAACACGUGGGCAUCUACCUUCAAGUGGGGAAUAACGAGCCGAAAGGUUCGCUAAUACCGCAUACGGUUGCGAAACGAAAGGUGUAGUGAUACAUCGCUGGAAGGCGAGCCUGCGGUCGAUCAGGUAGUUGGUGAGGUAACGGCUCACCAAGCCUCUGACCGAUAGCUGAUCUGAGAGGAUGACCAGCCACACUGGGACUGCGAGACGGCCCAGACUCCUACGGGAGGCAGCAGCGAGGAAUAUUGCACAAUGGAGGCAACUCUGAUGCAGUAACGCCGCGUGGGGGAAGAAGACCUUCGGGUUGUAAACCUCUUUUUGUAUAGACGAGUGAGGACGGUAUAUAUAGAAUCAGUCUCGGCUAACUACGUGCCAGCAGCCGCGGUAAGACGUAGGAGGCGAGCGUUAUCCGGAUUCACUGGGCGUAAAGCGCAUGUAGGCGGCUGGACAAGUCGUGUGUUAAAGCCCCUGGCUCAACUGGGGGAGGUCAUGCGAGACUGUUCGACUUGAGAGCAACAGAGGCACGUGGAACUCCCGGUGUAGCGGUGGUAUGCGUAGAGAUCGGGAAGAACACCAGUGGCGAAGGCGACGUGCUGGGUUGCGACUGACGCUGAGAUGCGAAAGUG